CCUACGGGUGGCAGCAGUGAGGAAUAUUGGUCAAUGGGCGUAAGCCUGAACCAGCCAAGUCGCGUGAGGGAUGAAGGUUCUAUGGAUCGUACACCUCUUUUAUAAGGGACUAAAGUGCGGGACGUGUCCCGUUUUGUCUGUACCUUAUGAAUAAGGAUCGGCUAACUCCGUGCCAGCAGCCGCGGUAAUACGUAGGAUCCGAGCGUUAUCCGGAUUUAUUGGGUUUAAAGGGUCCGUAGGCGGCCUUUAAGUCAGCGGUGAAAGUCUGUGGCUCAACCAUAGAAUUGCCGUGGAAACUGGGAGGCUGGAGUAGGUUUGAGGAAGGCGGAAUGCGUGGUGUAGCGGUGAAAUGCUUAGAUAGCACGCAGAACCCCGAUUGCGAAGGCAGCUUGCCAAGCCAUGACUGACGCUGAUGCACGAAAGCGUGGGGAUCAAACAGGAUUAGAUACCCCAGUAGUC
Molecule: ribosomal RNA, 459 nt
Filed under: uncultured bacterium
Lineage: Bacteria
Description: partial 16S ribosomal RNA
Rfam family: Bacterial small subunit ribosomal RNA
Source: RNAcentral